CAGUUAUUUUAUCUACAGGGCUGAUAGAAUAAGAAGAGUUAGAAUUUUGACCCGGACCGGAGCCAACCUCAACCCAGCCCAAGGUUCGCUACCCUAGAUCAACACGGUGGCACGGAGUCACAAAGUUGAAAGUUUCACGGUUUGUGAAGCUUCUUGAAGCUUUUAGAUAUCUAAAAGCUGGUAAUCAAUUAUACAAUUCUAUCUUCGCAUCGUUCGAUUCUUGUUUUUAGAUAUAAGCAAAGAAUGUUCUUUUUGACUUUAAGAUAUGUUUAGUCACAGCCUUAGUCGAAUUUUCGCUAGCGCCUCUUGUCGAUCACUUGGCGGAGAUGAAUGGUUCUCCACCUUUUCUAUGUGCAGUUGUUCCACUUUAUCAAGCUUCUUAAAUAAUGAAGAAAAUGCUCCAGUAAAUAUCGAGAUUCUAGCCGUAAUGACUCCUUUUAAGGGUUGCCCUUGCUCCUGUUGCUUGUAUUUAUAGAGAUAUGAGGGUGUUACGUAAUGCAAUGGUUAAGCCUGUCGAAUUAGGGUCUGGAAUUGGUCUGAAGUUCACUAUAUGGCACUACGAUUUAGUGCAGAUGUGGGUUUGGGAGAGGUUUGUGGAAUUGAGGCCAAAGCCAAAUGUCAUAGAACGGGGAGACCCUAGAUCAGCACGGUGGAAUGGAGUCACAAAGUUGUAAGUUUCACGAUUUGUGAAGCUUCUUGAAGCUUUUAGACAUAUAAAGCUGAUGAGUUCCUACAGGCUACAGUCAAGUGGAUCAUGCUCCUCAGAGUAUUCUUCUUGGCUGUUGAGAUGGUGGAAAAUCUCAAAGGUGCAAUGGUGGAGUCAAACUAUUUGGCUCGUUUGUAGCUGAACUAUUCACGAAAUGGUGAGAUUUGGAUAUAUCUAUAGAGAUACAUGUUUUCAUAUCUCAAGCACAGCAAGAAAGCAGAAGGAAAGUUUGCUUGCAGAUUUACUAGGAGCUCUUAGAAGGAAAGCCUGUUAAACCUGCACGGGCUGUUGCCAACAACCAUCUGACAAGAAUGGCAGAUGCAUUUCGAGCUUAACACAAUAUGCUUCCAUCAAAUUAUCAUAAUCAUGCUACUGUCUCCCCACACUAAUUAGACAAGAUCGACUGCCAUCUGCAAAACGGUCACCGGACAGGAAGAAACAUGGAAAAAACCGGUGGCGUCCACAGGUAAACCGAUCAUCAUCAUCAUUAUUAUCAGUGUCAAACUCAGAAUUUAAGGAAUAAUAAGCAUUCAUUUUCUGUGUUGAUUGUUUGUAUAGUUUUGGUAAGCAUCCAAGACCAAAGAUGAAGUCUGUAAAAUUAUUUUCUUUAUAUCUCAUUCCAUCAGAAAUUUGAUAAGCCAAAGAGUGAGUAGUUUGGGCGAAUAUGUGAACACGCAGUAGUUUUAGCAAUAUAUUUUUGGAUCAUAUGCUUUUGAUAAUUUUGAUUCGAAGCAUAAGUGAUUUCAGAAUUUAGGAUUGUUUAAUCUUACUUUCCUUUGAAAUCACACUUAAUUAAUUUAAACUUCAUAUCUAAAUAUUGAAUGAUGGUAGAAUGAAUAUGUAAUCUAGAAAUUAAGAAAAUUAAAUUCUUGAAACAUUCUAUAUCAUUUGUGUAACACUAUGUUUCAUGAACAACAUAGAUUAGGUCAACUUUCCUGCUCUUCAUGAACCCUAAGCGAAAAUGUGUUCGUCUUUGAGAGAAAAAAUCUGACAAAUCAAUAUCAGUUCAGAAAUUAUUUACGCAAUUAUAAUUAGUAGUAUUUAUUGAAUCCGCGUGUUUAUGUUGUAAUUGCAUAAUAAUCAUUGACCGAACAUCAGCGGAUACAGAAAAUUAGACUUGCAUGAUACACUAAACCUGGAGAACCACUGUUUAAACAGGAUUAAUAUUGUUGACAAUGUGUAGCUGUGACGGUUUAACAAAUAGGAAAGCUUGUGAACACUUUAAAACAAGAGAAUCAUGGACAAAAGACUUCUUUAGAUUUACUAAUUAUCAGAAGACUUGUGGAAUGUAUGUUAGUUUUAUACUCCAAAUUUGGUGGAAGUUCAGAAAAAAGACAUGUGAUUGAGACGAUAUUUUGAAUGUGGCAAUCCCGAUAGACUGAUCAAUUCAUGGAAUACUACUUAGUUAAAUAAUGAAGAAAAUGCUCCGUCAAAGAUUGAGGCGUAAUGACUCUUUUUAAGGUAAUAUACUUUUCUUCUUAAGUCUCUUAAACAUUUUUGCCGAAAACUGUGUGACUAAAUGUGAAAGAAUUAUCGAGAUGAAGAAUUAGUUAAUAAUACAAAUCUAAAUUAUUUGUGUGGAGGAUCUUGAUUAAUUACUUACCCCAAUUGGCAGCACAAGGAAUACUCGUACAACAACGUUGGAGUUUGACCAACUCCAGAGUUUUGACUACGAUGAUACCAUCAGUCUCCUUCUAUGCCCCGUCUUCAGUUGGUUCUCUUUAAUUAGGGGUGGCCUGGUAAUUUUGAUAUCUUCAGCCUUGUCAUUUCUAGUAUGCAAAUGAGUUCUCUGGUAAAACCUACGUUGCGGGAUACUCUUUUGCUCAUUGGACCUGAGAGGGAGGAUGAGCAAGUGAGGCAACAUAUCAUUGAAGACUAGUGAGAUGUUUUUUGGACCGUGGAAAGUCUUAGAGGUGCCAUGGUGGAACCAUUUGGCUCUUAUGUAUCUAAGCAUUUGACCAGAACAUAUCUAUAGAGAUACAUAGAGGUCGCAUAUUUUAACUAUUUGGAGAAACCAGAAGGAAAAUUUACUAGAAACUGUACUAGAAGCUCUCAGAAGUGAGGGUACCUGCCUCCUUUUUAGUAAUCUGCUUGACAAUUGACAUAUAGGUUUGAGAACUGCAGCUGUUGAACAAAUUGCAAGAACAUUUGCUGCAGACAAAAACUGGUUUAAACGGUCUAGGCGGAGAAAUGAAAGUUCUCUGAUCUGCUCGUUUCAUUCUUUGCAAAGGUUGAGGAUCCUUUUGAGCAGCCUAAUAAUACUGCAAGGCCUAUUACCAACAACCUUCAGACAGAAACACUGGGGGAAACUAUGACGGGAGUCAUCCACAGGUCAACAGAGAAGCAUCAGCACCAUCACAGUCGCAUCUAACUUAAUAUGUAAUGAAUGAUAAACGUUCUAACAUUGCGACUGUCAGCAGACCAGUGCAGACAAUUCAAGCACAACAGAUCUGGAGGGCAAAACCCAAGAGCUAAAUUCCACGAGGAUGGACCUACAGCCUGCCUUCGUAUAUUAAUUAUUGAUAAAGAUAAUAUUGCUUAUUGUUAAUCAAGUCUUUAUAAAUGGUUUGUUGUAAAAAUAACAUUAUAACCAUUAUGUUUAAAGUCAAUGUAAAUGUUUUACAGUAAUAAAUUGUGUGUUGGCCUA
This is an RNA transcript of Daucus carota subsp. sativus, 3353 nucleotides long. RefSeq lists it as uncharacterized. The transcript has 9 exons. The record is from RefSeq and is a predicted model, not a curated record. NCBI's taxonomy places the organism in Eukaryota, Viridiplantae, Streptophyta, Magnoliopsida, Apiales, Apiaceae.